Long non-coding RNA from Pseudoliparis swirei, 831 nucleotides. RefSeq lists it as uncharacterized. NCBI's taxonomy places the organism in Eukaryota, Metazoa, Chordata, Actinopteri, Perciformes, Liparidae. The transcript is spliced from 2 exons. The record is from RefSeq and is a predicted model, not a curated record.
UGCUCGAAGUGCUCAAGUGCGCCACACUGACAAAACCAGCAGAAUUCAGUGCACUGAAAGUACCCGGAUGGUGCACUGCAAACGGGCAAAAAAUGUAGUGUAAAACGAUGGACACUACUCGCCCUAAGCGGCCGCCAUCUUGGCGACGUAGCGGAAGAGGAGGAGCCCUUUCGCCAGCUUUUCAUUUUAUUUCUAAAACAAUGGCGGACAGCACAAGCGGUAGACCACGAAGCUACAGUACAUAGACGUUUCCUGGAGGUGCUGGCUGGUCCUCUGCUGCCCUCCCGACAUCUGGCUCCAAUGACCUCUGGCACCUCACAUCCACCUCCAGGGCCUUUAAGAAGAUGGACCGCCAUCAAUAGCCCCCACCACUCUGCUGAAGGCUGCCGACCCAGCUAGACGGGUGAAGCGGGCACCUAGCCGUGGGAGUUCCUCUCCUGGAGGGUGGCGGACAACAGUGGACAGGAGCGCAGCGAUCUGCCCACUCAUCCUGUGCACCAGCCGGUGAACGGUGGCCCGGGGCCUGUCGAAGGCCCUGGCCACCACCCGAUAGGAGGUGGUGCUGGCAAGUCAAAAAAUAAAAACUAGACAGGAGAUCUCGGGCCCCAACCGUGGUCACAGUCAGUGCCCAGCACAGCCAUGAGGGCGUUGAAUGACUCUCGGUGAGCCUGAAGUCCACCCUCAUGUCACUGUGGCCAUCACAAUACAACGCCAGCAGUGGCAUUGCAACAUUGAUACGGCAGCGCCGACUGGGUGGCUGCUGUAGUGUGUGGGGAGGGGAAGGGAAGAUUAUAUUAAUAUGUCAUUUUUUCAAUAAAAUGUUGUCAUUGA